UUCCGUGUGGUGGAAUGGCUAACACGUCAGAAUUUGGCUCUGAAGAUUGGGAGUUCGAAUCUCUCUACGGAAA
This 73-nucleotide transfer RNA is filed under the name Paludibacteraceae bacterium. RNAcentral's name for it is "tRNA-Gln". It matches the Rfam family "tRNA". From Rfam's summary of the family: Transfer RNA (tRNA) molecules are approximately 80 nucleotides in length. Their secondary structure includes four short double-helical elements and three loops (D, anti-codon, and T loops). Lineage: Bacteria; Pseudomonadati; Bacteroidota; Bacteroidia; Bacteroidales; Paludibacteraceae. The record is from RNAcentral.